This 253-nucleotide ribosomal RNA is filed under the name uncultured bacterium. RNAcentral's name for it is "partial 16S ribosomal RNA". It matches the Rfam family "Bacterial small subunit ribosomal RNA", at positions 524 to 776 of the family's 1533-position model. The record is from RNAcentral.
UACGUAGGUGGCAAGCGUUGUCCGGAUUUACUGGGCGUAAAGGGCUCGUAGGCGGCCAACUAAGUCAUACGUGAAAUCCCUCGGCUUAACCGGGGAACUGCGUCUGAUACUGGAUGGCUUGAGUUCGGGAGAGGGAUGCGGAAUUCCAGGUGUAGCGGUGAAAUGCGUAGAUAUCUGGAGGAACACCGGUGGCGAAGGCGGCAUCCUGGACCGAUACUGACGCUGAGGAGCGAAAGCCAGGGGAGCAAACGGG